This 1173-nucleotide long non-coding RNA is filed under the name Anser cygnoides (Swan goose). RNAcentral's name for it is "lncRNA (ENSACDG00005018855.1)". Lineage: Eukaryota; Metazoa; Chordata; Aves; Anseriformes; Anatidae. The record is from RNAcentral.
GGAGCGGCGUGGCUUUCCCCGGCACGAUGCUCUGCUCGUGUUGUGGCCGGCACAUCGUGGCACGUAGCUCCCGGUGAGAGUUCACGGGGAAUUUCCUGGUAAGUGAAUUUAUUUCUCAAGGUUUUCUCCACACACCGAGGGCCGAGCAGGCUCCGGCACGGGCUUGGCUUCCCCACGGCAGGAGCUCGGGGAUGGGUGCAGGCGACGCUGGCUGCGGGGAUCGGGGGGGCAGCGCCUCACUCAUCUUCCAGGAUGCCUCCUCGGCUCCUCGCACACCCCCGGGUUUGUCUCCUAAAACCUCUCGAAGCUGUUUUGUUAACUCGCAAUCCUCCAAGCCUGCCAGCGGCGUCCUUCCCACCUGUAGGAACAAAGGGCUCCUGCAAUGAUAUUUUCUUUUAUUUUUGUGUUUUAUAUGUGAAAUCCGUGGAGGUAAUAAAGGUGUUUCCGUUUCUUUUGUUUCUAUCCCAGGUCGUCUCGCUACCGCAUGAACCCAGGAGUGGGGAAAAACCCACCCUGCAAACCCAGGAGAGCCUGGCCCUGAGAGCCACCAGCCCCGUCUCAGGGGGUCACGGCCACCAGAAGCCCUCGCAGUGGCCGAUCCCACGUGAACCUUCCUCCUCCUCCUUCUCCUCCUCCUCCUCCUGCCUGCAGCCGCUGGCUGGAGCAGCGCAGAGCACGCCUGGUGCCAGCACCGCGGCCACGGGGACACCGGGGACUGCCCUGGGGACAGGCAAGGACACCACUGAGCAUCCCUGUGCCGGGCAGCACCGAGCCUCGUGGCUCGUGGGCAGCCAAAGAGUCACAGAAUCACCGGGGCUGGAAGCGAACUUGAAGAUCAGCAAGCGCAACCGCCAACCUCCUGCGUCCCAGCGCUGCGCCACGGCCCUUGGCACCACCAGAAGACCUCGUGCAUCUCUGCCUGGAGAAGACGUCUCGGUGCUUUUCACGUGGCUCAGGCCUCCUUUGCUGUCCUCCUUCGCCAUCCUCCAGCUCUCUGCAGCGAGGUUUGAGCUCCUGGGAGGUGCCUGUGGGGGAACCACAGCGCUUGUGGCGUCCUGGGCUGGGGCGAGGAGGUUUGGGGUGCUGAGCCCCGCAGCCCUCCCAGCUCCGAGCAGCUCUCCCGUACCACUGGAAGCCCAGGAACUGAAAGUGCUUCGUACCCAGUCCCGCUGA